CCCCCUUGUGUUAUUUUUUUUUGAACCCCCUAACAUUUUCAAUUUGCACCAAAGACCCUUUCUCUCUCACUAACACACGCACUUCUUACUCAUGCCCUCAUCCUCUUGCUCUCGCUAGGUCAAGCGCGCACACACACACCAGCCACCAGUGCACCACCGGCCACCACCACGACACCACCAGUGGUUACCAGUCCGGUGAGUCCACCACGCACCCUUGAUUUUGGCUAUGCUGUAGACACGGCUGAAGGCUUGAAGUUUACAAUUAAGGCUUGUUUGAGGAUUAGGCUGGGUCGAAGUAUACAGUUUGGGUGUACAACUAAUUUUCUGGCUUAGGGAGUAUUGCAUUAGUGUUUGUCACAAGUUAAGGGGAUUUGAGUACUACAUCUCUUGUAAUUUUAUUUCACUUUUGGUUUCUUUACUUUGUAUUAAGGGCUGGAGUACCCUUUAUACUCCUUUUUAAUAUAGUUUUGGUUUAUCAAAAAAAAAAAUCAUGGGUUGAGGUAUCCCUAGUACCUCUAUA
This is a long non-coding RNA of Lotus japonicus, 520 nucleotides long. RefSeq lists it as uncharacterized. The transcript has 2 exons. The record is from RefSeq and is a predicted model, not a curated record. NCBI's taxonomy places the organism in Eukaryota, Viridiplantae, Streptophyta, Magnoliopsida, Fabales, Fabaceae.